AAGGAUGAAGUAUGCAUACCCUACAGGAUCACAGGCAGUCAAGCAGGAAGGGAAGUUUUAGUGACCUAGACCUAGCAAUAGGAAGACCAAUCUCUACACUGUGGACAGAAGUAGAAAUGGUGAUGGAUGGUCUGGCAAGAUGCAUUUGGCUUCUCAGGGAAGAACAGGGGUGGCCUCCAAAGACCGAUGAAACCAAGGAAAGAGGGAAUUUUUUCUAGUAGAAAAUGCAUCUCUCUGAUCAAAGAAGGAAUAAUGCUUAUAUAACACUUAUUCAGGUAGACUCCUUCGGUGUCUUUACAGACAGGUGUCAAGUGUUAAAUGAAGAAGGAACAAUUAAAAUUUCUUCUGGAUGUUGCAUCAAGUCUAGCAGCGAUCAUUCUACCAUAGAUCUCUCAGCCAAUCCUCACAGGAGGUGUUCCAUCCUGUGG
This is a long non-coding RNA of Hirundo rustica (Barn swallow), 428 nucleotides long. RefSeq lists it as uncharacterized. Lineage: Eukaryota; Metazoa; Chordata; Aves; Passeriformes; Hirundinidae. The transcript is spliced from 3 exons. The record is from RefSeq and is a predicted model, not a curated record.